Molecule: ribosomal RNA, 460 nt
Filed under: uncultured bacterium
Lineage: Bacteria
Description: partial 16S ribosomal RNA
Rfam family: Bacterial small subunit ribosomal RNA
Source: RNAcentral
CCUACGGGUGGCAGCAGUGAGGAAUAUUGGUCAAUGGACGAGAGUCUGAACCAGCCAAGUAGCGUGAAGGAUGACUGCCUUAUGGGUUGUAAACUUCUUUUAUAUGGGAAUAAAAUGUUCCACGUGUGGGAUUUUGUAUGUACCAUAUGAAUAAGGAUCGGCUAACUCCGUGCCAGCAGCCGCGGUAAUACGGAGGGUGCAAGCGUUGUCCGGAAUCAUUGGGCGUAAAGAGUUCGUAGGCGGCAUGUAAAGUCAGUUGUGAAAGUUUGCGGCUCAACCGUAAAAUUGCAGUUGAAACUGGCAGUCUUGAGUACAGUAGAGGUGGGCGGAAUUCGUGGUGUAGCGGUGAAAUGCUUAGAUAUCACGAAGAACUCCGAUUGCGAAGGCAGUUCACUGGACUGCAACUGACACUGAGGCUCGAAAGUGUGGGUAUCAAACAGGAUUAGAUACCCGAGUAGUC